This 376-nucleotide ribosomal RNA is filed under the name Polypheretima taprobanae. RNAcentral describes it as "partial 16S ribosomal RNA". It matches the Rfam family "Bacterial large subunit ribosomal RNA", at positions 1926 to 2541 of the family's 2925-position model. The record is from RNAcentral. Lineage: Eukaryota; Metazoa; Annelida; Clitellata; Crassiclitellata; Megascolecidae.
AACGGCCGCGGUAUCCUAACCGUGCAAAGGUAGCAUAAUCACUUGCCUAUUAAUUGUAGGCUAGAAUGAAAGGGUUAACGAAAUAAAAACUGUCUCAAUUAGGUACCUAAAAAUUAAUCUCUAUAUGAAGAAGAAUAGAUAAUCUCGAAGGACAAGAAGACCCUAUAGAGCUUUAUUUUUAAUGUAGAAACAAACUAUAAAAAAAUUCGGUUGGGGCGACCUCGGGCUUAAUAAACACCCAAGAUAAAAAAGAUAUAUUAAUCAAAUAACUGACCCUAUAAAGAUCACAAGACCAAGCUACCUUAGGGAUAACAGGCUAAUCCCACUCAAGAGUCCUUAUCAACAGUGGGGCUUGGCACCUCCAUGUUGGCUUAGG